GGUGAAGGAUCUCCUUUGACACAGGCAACCUCCAUCCAGGCACGCAGUGGAAAUGGACAGCUGACCAUAUAGCCCAGUCCCUUUUCUGACACACUUCUUCCUUGGGGAAGUUGAGGUUGGGGGCGGGCUAUGCACAGGGCUCCCCAGCCUCCCUGUGUGUCUGCUCCCUUCCCUGCCCUCCGCCCGGUGGCCCCAUGGGCCACAGCCCACAGGGAAGCAGGUUGGUGCCACCACUGCCUCCCCUCCGCAGCCGGCGAGCCUGUAAAUGCCUCCCUUGGGCCCCCAUGAGGCCAGUGAGCCAGAAGCCCCUCUGACCCAGAGGUCACUGUGACCAGCACAUCCUGGAGAGGAGGCCUCGCCCUUGCACCUUUUAUUUGCAAGAGUUACUUUUACAUUUAUUUUAAAUGUUGAUUUAAGUAUAUACUUCAUCUACAGUUAUCCAUAUAAAUAGAUUCAUUACAGGGCCUGGCUCUGAAUAAACACAGUAAGUUGGA
This 494-nucleotide long non-coding RNA is filed under the name Pongo abelii (Sumatran orangutan). RNAcentral describes it as "lincRNA". The record is from RNAcentral. Lineage: Eukaryota; Metazoa; Chordata; Mammalia; Primates; Hominidae.